Molecule: long non-coding RNA, 426 nt
Filed under: Capsicum annuum
Lineage: Eukaryota; Viridiplantae; Streptophyta; Magnoliopsida; Solanales; Solanaceae
Description: long non-coding RNA (CANN_LNC016906)
Source: RNAcentral
AAAUCAGUGAAAUUCAUCAGGAAACUAAAAAAAAUCCAAAUUCGAGUUCCAGUGAGCUGCUAAGGGCAGAAAUGGACUGGAAAAGUAAAAAUUUUGGUGACCCACUCAACCAGUUCCAGUUAAUUUCAGUACUUUGACAUUUUAUCGCUGGAACAUUAACCAGAUGCAAGCUCUGCCUCCCCUUUUCGAUUCUCACCUCUAUCUCUCCCUCGAUUUCAUGUUCUCUACUCUCAAUUCAUAUGUGUGUGUGCCAAUGGAUAUGUGUUAGUGUGUGUUAGUGUGUGCUAAUGAUGAAAAGAGGGUGUGUGCGUAGAUUGUCAUUCUAUGUGGGGAACUGAGUGUAUUCUGUUGUAGUGUGUUGGUGAACCAAGAAGAAGAAAAAGGAAAGGUGUAUGCGUAUCCUCCUUUUUUUGUGUUCUGUGUAUA